This 272-nucleotide unclassified non-coding RNA is filed under the name uncultured fungus. RNAcentral's name for it is "partial contains 5.8S ribosomal RNA, internal transcribed spacer 2, and large subunit ribosomal RNA". The record is from RNAcentral. Lineage: Eukaryota; Fungi.
AACGCACAUUGCGCCCCCCAGCACCCUGGAGGGCAUGCCUGUUCGAGCGUCACUACAACACUCAAGCUCUGCUUGGCGUUGGGGAGCCACGGCGCUUAGCCGCCGUGGGCCCUGAAAAUUAGUGGCGGGUCUGCGAAGGAACCCGGACGAAGUAGCUAUUACAACGUCUAGGGCGCUGAGCAGGUUCCGGCCAUAAAACCGAAGGCCGCAUUACGCGGCUGGACAAUGAACGUGUUGACCUCGGAUCAGGUAGGAAUACCCGCUGAACUUAA